AAUCUUCCGCAAUGGACGAAAGUCUGACGGAGCGAUGCCGCGUGAGUGAUGAAGGUCUUCGGAUCGUAAAACUCUGUUGUUAGGGAAGAACAAGUAUCGGAGUAAUAUGCCGGUACCUUGACGGUACCUGACGAGAAAGCCACGGCUAACUACGUGCCAGCAGCCGCGGUAAUACGUAGGUGGCAAGCGUUGUCCGGAUUUAUUGGGCGUAAAGCGCGCGCAGGCGGUUCUUUAAGUUUGAUUUGAAAUUCUACAGCUUAACCGUAAGCGGUCAUUGGAAACUGGGAGAAUUGAGUGCAGAAGAGGAAAGUGGAAUUCCAUGGUUAGCGGUGAAAUGCGUAGAGAUAUGGAGGAACACCCGUGGCGAAGGCGACUCUCUGGUCUGUAACUGACGCUGAGGCGCGAAAGCGUUGGGAUCAAACA
Molecule: ribosomal RNA, 423 nt
Filed under: uncultured bacterium
Lineage: Bacteria
Description: partial 16S ribosomal RNA
Rfam family: Bacterial small subunit ribosomal RNA
Source: RNAcentral